Non-coding RNA from Penaeus vannamei (Pacific white shrimp), 694 nucleotides. The record is from RefSeq and is a predicted model, not a curated record. Lineage: Eukaryota; Metazoa; Arthropoda; Malacostraca; Decapoda; Penaeidae.
CACCUAUAAGUGGGAAUACGUAAUGGGAAGACUGCAGUGACGUACGUUUCUCGCCGUGGCUGGCGUCUAGUCUAGUGCCACACUCCGCCGCUACAGGAUGAAAACUUGAAAGAGGAAAACGCUUAAGAGUUGCAGCGCCUUUAAUGCUUUGAGGGCGUCUCAGAUACACCCUGCGGACUAUUCUUCAAGAUUUUACAAUGGAAGACUAUGAUGCUGGCUGGGAUGAGCUUAACGAGCAGUUUACUCCCUCUGCUUCUUUUGAAAACCGACGACUUAGAUCCCCUACACACAGACGUCCGCCAAGGCCGCCCAGUCAACGCGGUAAGAGCACUGGGUUGAACCGUCAGCCGGGAACAGGUCCCAGACCGUUUAGUCAACGCGGUAAGAGACCCGAGUUGAACCGGCAGCCGGGAACAGGUCCCAGACCGUUUAGUCAACACGACAAGAGACCCGAGUUGAACCGGCAGCCGGGAACAGGUCCCAGACCGUUUAGUCAACACGACAAGAGACCCGAGUUGAACCGGCAGCCGGGAACAGGUCCCAGACCGUUUAGUCAACACGACAAGAGACCCGAGUUGAACCGCAGCCGGGAACAGGUCCCAGACCGUUUAGUCAACACGACAAGAGACCCGAGUUGAACCGGCAGCCGGGAACAGGUCCCAGACCGUUUAGUCAACACGACAAGAGACCCGAG